CUAGUCUAAUGUACAAGGACAAUAUAUACGCAUGCCAAUUUACCCGACGGAAACAGUCAACAAGUGCCUACUACUUUCUAUUAGAAUAAAUAUUCGGACAGCGAACGGCCUCAUGCUUGUGAAGAAAACAAAUACACAACUCAUGGUGCGUUAGAAUAGUCCAAGUCUUACAACUCGGAAGUACACCUAUGAACCGGUACUGAGGAAACCCUUCGACCCCAGACCCCGGUUUACUAAUAAUAAGUUGAAUACUAAUACUUCUAUAACAUUUUAAAUGCUCCCUACCCAAACGAGAAUCUAAAGGAAAGGGUCGAGGUCUUACCUGUAUAAGAACCUAGGAGUUCUGUACGGACCUUUUAAGUUCCUCGCUGAAGGUGUUUGUCUACAGAUCAAGUUCGUAGGUUUUAUUCUAAAGACACUAAAAACGGUAGCUGCACGCAAAGAACCCUACACAUUUUUUGUUGAGGAACAGAUUUAUGUGGUUUAAUAUAACCCGACACAAUCAGUAUCAUAGACGAUAUUCAUAGUACUUCGAGUAAUAGCACAACCGUCAUGAUAGGUCCAAUCAGAAACGUGGCAACAGACAUAACUAGAAGGAACGGAUGUUCAUGACCGUUUGUUUCUAUAGUCAACUGCGUCAACUCUCCAAGGAGGUCUACGUUGAUCGGGAACCGGGUUGUUCCAAGCGAAUGUGUCUGUAGUGACGCUAGUGAUCGGUGAAGUCUCUGUUCGACCCGGUUCCUCCGAUACCCAGGCACAUGUUUCCACACGAAGGGCCACUACAGGUACAACGGUAGUUUUACAACCAGUCAAGGUACAGGUUACCUCUUCUUAAGUAGUCACUCCACAGGUCGUAGCCUUCGUAAGUGGUACAGUUGCAUCACGCAGACCACCCAAAGACGAGCCUCCUUUACUCCUCCCGAGAACAAAUACUCAUGUACGGGGUGCCUAGAGAACUCUUCAUGUAGAAGAGCGGUCUCUUCUCAAAGAGUACCCUGUUCGAGUUAGUCUAACGAGACCCGUAACGGUCUCCCUAGCUGAUGGACGUGGCUCCCACGCUAUACGUCUAUAAUGUGAAGCUGUAGUUCGGCGUGUUGUAGGACAAUCUGUCACUAAAGUGGGGCUUCUAACGACUGAAAGCCGACCGCUUUGACAUAGGGUCCCUGUUGUCGAAAAACGGCCACUCGCGACGCGCCCCUUGUCAACCGAUGUAUCGAGGGCUCUACCACAGGGCAUCGAAACCGCGGUAUAGAAGGUUCAGACUACAGAUAUCGAAGCCCUACAACAACGACCUCUACCGGCCCCCCGCCUCCUUACACCUAGGUGCUCGCAGUUCUUCGGUCUGUAUGAUGGGUCGAACCCACAUGUUAGUCGACAGGACGGUUCUCCGGUAACCAUAGGUAGUCCAUCUCUCCUUCGACACGUAGCAAGGCGACACCACGUAGGUCUACUUCGGUCUGCUAGCUGGUUGCUACUCGCUCCACGAUCUGUACGAGCUUCGACCGUAGUUACCGGACCUCCACGGAGGGCUCGGGAAGAAGACGCCCCUGCUCAUGCGAGGACGACGUCUAAGAAGUCACAAUAGUCUCUAUUCAUGUAAGAACCUCACU
Molecule: ribosomal RNA, 1610 nt
Filed under: Triticum aestivum (bread wheat)
Lineage: Eukaryota; Viridiplantae; Streptophyta; Magnoliopsida; Poales; Poaceae
Description: partial small subunit ribosomal RNA
Source: RNAcentral